RNAcentral lists this ribosomal RNA (802 nucleotides) under Candidatus Hakubella thermalkaliphila. RNAcentral's name for it is "bacterial SSU rRNA". It matches the Rfam family "Bacterial small subunit ribosomal RNA", at positions 1 to 795 of the family's 1533-position model. The record is from RNAcentral. Lineage: Bacteria; Bacillati; Actinomycetota; Candidatus Hakubellales; Candidatus Hakubellaceae.
UUGAAGAGUUUGAUCAUGGCUCAGAUUGAACGCUGGCGGCAGGCCUAACACAUGCAAGUCGAACGGUAACAGGAAGAAGCUUGCUUCUUUGCUGACGAGUGGCGGACGGGUGAGUAAUGUCUGGGAAACUGCCUGAUGGAGGGGGAUAACUACUGGAAACGGUAGCUAAUACCGCAUAACGUCGCAAGACCAAAGAGGGGGACCUUCGGGCCUCUUGCCAUCAGAUGUGCCCAGAUGGGAUUAGCUAGUAGGUGGGGUAACGGCUCACCUAGGCGACGAUCCCUAGCUGGUCUGAGAGGAUGACCAGCCACACUGGAACUGAGACACGGUCCAGACUCCUACGGGAGGCAGCAGUGGGGAAUAUUGCACAAUGGGCGCAAGCCUGAUGCAGCCAUGCCGCGUGUAUGAAGAAGGCCUUCGGGUUGUAAAGUACUUUCAGCGGGGAGGAAGGGAGUAAAGUUAAUACCUUUGCUCAUUGACGUUACCCGCAGAAGAAGCACCGGCUAACUCCGUGCCAGCAGCCGCGGUAAUACGGAGGGUGCAAGCGUUAAUCGGAAUUACUGGGCGUAAAGCGCACGCAGGCGGUCUGUUAAGUCGGAUGUGAAAUCCCCGGGCUCAACCUGGGAACUGCAUCUGAUACUGGCAAGCUUGAGUCUCGUAGAGGGGGGUAGAAUUCCAGGUGUAGCGGUGAAAUGCGUAGAGAUCUGGAGGAAUACCGGUGGCGAAGGCGGCCCCCUGGACAAAGACUGACGCUCAGGUGCGAAAGCGUGGGGAGCAAACAGGAUUAGAUACCCCGGUAGUC